This 214-nucleotide long non-coding RNA is filed under the name Capsella rubella. Its description in RNAcentral is "long non-coding RNA (CRUB_LNC003966)". Lineage: Eukaryota; Viridiplantae; Streptophyta; Magnoliopsida; Brassicales; Brassicaceae. The record is from RNAcentral.
CAAACUAGUACAUAUACUAUUUAUUAUUAGGAAAAUAGUCGGUGGACCCUACAAUGUGAGAUAGAGAAUGGUGUGAGAUAGGGAAAAGAAAGGAAAAAAAAUUGACAAAGAAGGGUAAUUUUUAUCUAUUUGGUUUUUUGUUUUUUGUUUUUGUUUUUUUAUCAUUUUAUUUCUUUGAAUGUGUUUAUCCCAUGAAUCUAAUAACUUACAUACU